AUUGAACGCUGGCGGCAGGCCUAACACAUGCAAGUCGAGCGAGCGGCGGACGGGUGAGUAAUGUAUGGGGGCUGCCCGAUAGAGGGGGAUAACUACUGGAAACGGUAGCUAAUACCGCAUACUAUCGGAUAAUCCCUAUGGGAUUAGCUAGUAGGUGAGGUAAUGGCUCACCUAGGAGACGAUCCCUAGCUGGUCUGAGAGGAUGAUCAGCCACACUGGGCCGGAGACACGGCCCAGACUCCUACGGAGCCAGCAGUGGGUAAUAUUGCAAAAGGGGCGCAAGCCUGAUGCAGCCAUGCCGCGUGUAUGAUGAAGGCCUUCGGGUUGUAAAGUACUUUUGGCAGAGAAGCGGUAUCUGCAGAAUAAGCACCGGCUAACUGCGUGCCAGCAGCCGCGGUAAUAC
This 403-nucleotide ribosomal RNA is filed under the name uncultured bacterium. RNAcentral's name for it is "partial 16S ribosomal RNA". It matches the Rfam family "Bacterial small subunit ribosomal RNA", at positions 30 to 526 of the family's 1533-position model. The record is from RNAcentral.